Molecule: long non-coding RNA, 1305 nt
Organism: Amphiprion ocellaris (clown anemonefish)
Lineage: Eukaryota; Metazoa; Chordata; Actinopteri; Pomacentridae
Source: Ensembl
UGAAGAUUUCACACAAACACAUAUAAGCUUCUAGACAUAUAAUAGAUUAGAGCAGUGGUUCCAAACAAUUCAGUAAAUUCAGUGAGUGAUUCCUCGCUCAUAUUACACACACACAUAUAACAGCAAGCAAAGGGUUUAAAUGAACUCACAUUUAUGUACCACAACUGUGGUCUUUCUUAUUUCCUGUCCCAUGAUGUCACAGUUUUAUCUGCUGACCCUCAGGAAGGGACCCGACCUCACAGUUGGGAACCCAUGGACUACCAAACAGUAUGAAGACCAUGAUUUUAAAAAAGGUACAACAAAUAUCUUCUUGGUGAGAGGACAGAUGAGAUGUGGGGGUGUAUACUGGGGCACAGGCAUCACCAGUUUCUUUCAAAUCAAAAGCACACAGUAAGUACUGGCAUUUCAUAAAAUGUUUACAGAAUCACAAUACCUGAGUUUUUAAAAAUUAUUUUGUACAUUGUACAACAAAAUGAAACAAGAUUAAAACUAUGAAACAGACUACGUAGUAAUAAAAGUGAAAAUGAAAACACUUUAAGAUUGUUCAGAGUAGUCACAGUUUGCCUCAGUGUCAAACUUGAACAAGACUAUUCACCUAGGCAAGCCCAAAUCAGAGGAAAGACUGGGUCUGCCAUCAUUCAGGCAAUAUUAUUGGGCUGCCAAUGCCAGGGUCCUGAUGUUUUGGCAGCAGGGGGUUCUGGUCCAAAAUAUUUGACGGAUACUCCAAGGCUUACAAACAGGUCCUCCCAUUGGACCCUAUACUCGCCAUAUUCAGGUGCUCUCAACUCACCCAGAGACUCCCCAUUAUGACACAGCAGUCGCUGUUGCUCGGCAUGACAGUGGCCAAAAGAUUCAUUCUUAAGGAGUGGAAGUCACCCUCUCCCCCUUCCUUUCAGAGAUGGACGACGGACAUGAUCCAUGUUUAACAAAUGGAAAAACUGAGAUUCAUACGGACCAACAAGGUGCAAAAUACUCUGACAUCUAGGACCCAUUCCUUGCUCACCUUGGCAAGGGCAAAAGCUAAGGGACUGAGCUGGUUGACCUCUUAUCCCUGCGCUUGUUACACACCCACAGACCGUUCAGCAGCACCAUGAUGUAACACUGGCAAAGUAUAUACUAUGUAUAUGUAUGUAUAUGUGUAUGUAUUUGUAUGUAUGUAUGUAUGUACACACGUGGACAAAAUUGUUGGUACCCUUCGGUUAAUGAAAGAAAAACCCACAAUGGUCACAGAAAUAAUUUGAAUGUGACAAAAGUAAUAAUAAAUAAAAAUUCUAUGAAAAUUAACCAAUGAAAAUCAGACAUUGC